This 74-nucleotide transfer RNA is filed under the name Nanobdella aerobiophila. RNAcentral's name for it is "tRNA-Phe". It matches the Rfam family "tRNA". Rfam says of the family: Transfer RNA (tRNA) molecules are approximately 80 nucleotides in length. Their secondary structure includes four short double-helical elements and three loops (D, anti-codon, and T loops). The record is from RNAcentral. Lineage: Archaea; Nanobdellati; Nanobdellota; Nanobdellia; Nanobdellales; Nanobdellaceae.
GGGGUGGUAGCUCAGACCGGGAGAGCGUCCGGCUGAAGACCGGGAGGUCGUGGGUUCAAGUCCCACCCACCCCA